This 417-nucleotide long non-coding RNA is filed under the name Capsella grandiflora. RNAcentral's name for it is "long non-coding RNA (CGRA_LNC000999)". The record is from RNAcentral. Lineage: Eukaryota; Viridiplantae; Streptophyta; Magnoliopsida; Brassicales; Brassicaceae.
CUGGCUCCACGUAACUACUGGUGUCGACCAACAUCCACCUAGUGUCGAUCGUCAUUGGCUCCGCAAAUGCCCCAUAAUCACCUCUUCUCCCAAUGCAUCCAAACACAAAUCCUAUCAUCAAUCAUGCAAUACAUAGCACCAAUCUCACAGAAACAAACACACAAUCAAAACCCAAAUCCAUUUACACAAUCUAAACACACAUCAUAAAGGUUCACAAGUUUAGAUUAGCAAUAGACACGCUCUCGCCUUUGAUUUGGUUUGAUUGGGAGACAUAAAUAGGAAGAACACAAAAAGAGUAGAGCCUUCUCACACAAAUCUCCUCAACUCUUUGCCCAAACACACAACAACUACCCUCAAACACCUCUAGAACGCCUCCAUAAACUUUUUCUGAAGCCUCAACUUUCAUCUCCUUAAAAU